UGUGUUCAUAAGAACAAUGCUACGUGUCGC
This 30-nucleotide non-coding RNA is filed under the name Rattus norvegicus (Norway rat). Lineage: Eukaryota; Metazoa; Chordata; Mammalia; Rodentia; Muridae. The record is from RNAcentral.